GCAGUCGAGCGGUAGAGAGAAGCUUGCUUCUCUUGAGAGCGGCGGACGGGUGAGUAAUGCCUAGGAAUCUGCCUGGUAGUGGGGGAUAACGUUCGGAAACGGACGCUAAUACCGCAUACGUCCUACGGGAGAAAGCAGGGGACCUUCGGGCCUUGCGCUAUCAGAUGAGCCUAGGUCGGAUUAGCUAGUUGGUGGGGUAAUGGCUCACCAAGGCGACGAUCCGUAACUGGUCUGAGAGGAUGAUCAGUCACACUGGAACUGAGACACGGUCCAGACUCCUACGGGAGGCAGCAGUGGGGAAUAUUGGACAAUGGGCGAAAGCCUGAUCCAGCCAUGCCGCGUGUGUGAAGAAGGUCUUCGGAUUGUAAAGCACUUUAAGUUGGGAGGAAGGGCAGUUGCCUAAUACGUAACUGUUUUGACGUUACCGACAGAAUAAGCACCGGCUAACUCUGUGCCAGCAGCCGCGGUUAUACAGAGGGUGCAAGCGUUUAUCGGAAUUACUGGGCGUAAAGCGCGCGUAGGUGGUUU
This 528-nucleotide ribosomal RNA is filed under the name Pseudomonas sp. MYb110. Its description in RNAcentral is "bacterial SSU rRNA". It matches the Rfam family "Bacterial small subunit ribosomal RNA", at positions 57 to 581 of the family's 1533-position model. The record is from RNAcentral. Lineage: Bacteria; Pseudomonadati; Pseudomonadota; Gammaproteobacteria; Pseudomonadales; Pseudomonadaceae.